AGUGAACGCUGGCGGUAGGCCUAACACAUGCAAGUCGAACGGCAGCACAGUAAGAGCUUGCUCUUACGGGUGGCGAGUGGCGGACGGGUGAGGAAUACAUCGGAAUCUACUUUUUCGUGGGGGACAACGUAGGGAAACUUACGCUAAUACCGCAUACGACCUACGGGUGAAAGCAGGGGAUCUUCGGACCUUGCGCGAUUGAAUGAGCCGAUGUCGGAUUAGCUAGUUGGCGGGGUAAAGGCCCACCAAGGCGACGAUCCGUAGCUGGUCUGAGAGGAUGAUCAGCCACACUGGAACUGAGACACGGUCCAGACUCCUACGGGAGGCAGCAGUGGGGAAUAUUGGACAAAGGGCGCAAGCCUGAUCCAGCCAUACCGCGUGGGUGAAGAAGGCCUUCGGGUUGUAAAGCCCUUUUGUUGGGAAAGAAAAGCAGCAGGUUAAUACCCCGCUGUUCUGACGGUACCCAAAGAAUAAGCACCGGCUAACUUCGUG
This 492-nucleotide ribosomal RNA is filed under the name uncultured bacterium. Its description in RNAcentral is "partial 16S ribosomal RNA". It matches the Rfam family "Bacterial small subunit ribosomal RNA", at positions 29 to 507 of the family's 1533-position model. The record is from RNAcentral.